Molecule: long non-coding RNA, 826 nt
Filed under: Gouania willdenowi (blunt-snouted clingfish)
Lineage: Eukaryota; Metazoa; Chordata; Actinopteri; Blenniiformes; Gobiesocidae
Description: lncRNA (ENSGWIG00000009505.1)
Source: RNAcentral
GGCCACUUUACCGCUAGCGUCUUCGGUAAAAGAAGCAACAAGCUCAACUCUAUGUAACUCGUUUUCCACGUUUUCUUCAUGUAUUGUUACUGCAGCAACGUUAGCAGGCCCUGCGGUGCCUCCAUCAUUUUUUCUCAGAUUAUUGCUCAGUUCAAGCGAAGACUCUCUAGCCUCUGUCCUGCACUGCCCUUCGGUUCCCAGUAAUCCUGUUAGCCUUAGUAAUCCUCCCCAGCGUCCUGCAGCACGUCCAGGCUUCUUCACCGCAACUCUGGAAGAUGCUGCUGCUGCCGGCCUGAACGCUUCAGGAUGUUGAGCUGGGUGGUCAAAGUCGUUCCCCAGCCGCCUGAACCUUCAGCCAAGGAGGCCAAAGAGAAGAAAGAGGCUCCGCCCCCUGCCAAGGCACAAGUCGCAGAGAAAAAAGUGAAGUUUCAGGACGAGGUGAAAAUUGAAGAACCAAAAGUUGAAAAACCCAUACAGGAGGUGCAGAUUGUAGCAGAUGAUGAGCUGGCUGCGUCCUCUCAGUCAAUCACUCAGCCCAACGUGUUAACGUGGAUCAGUAACGCUCUACCUCAACCUUCACCAAAACUUAGCCGGGCCAACUCUCCCUGUAAGGAGGAACCAUCAGCGUCCAGCAGGUAAAUAACCCCCCAUCCCACCAACCAGGAGGCUGCAGGUAACCAGUGAAGUUAUUGACCUCUAGUAUUUCACCUCAUCUGUGUCUAAUGAGAAGAUAAAUAACACAUUGAUACAUCUCAAAGCAUUAGAUAUCCAUCCCUACCUGGUGGACAACAAUAAACCUGAAGACGAGUGAGUAAGAGGGUCUUGC